This 253-nucleotide ribosomal RNA is filed under the name uncultured bacterium. RNAcentral's name for it is "partial 16S ribosomal RNA". It matches the Rfam family "Bacterial small subunit ribosomal RNA", at positions 524 to 776 of the family's 1533-position model. The record is from RNAcentral.
UACGUAGGUGGCAAGCGUUGUCCGGAUUUACUGGGCGUAAAGAGCGCGCAGGCGGUCGUUUAAGUCGAAUGUGAAAGCCCCCGGCUCAACUGGGGAGGGUCAUUCGAUACUGAUCGACUUGAAGGCAGGAGAGGGAAGUGGAAUUCCGGGUGUAGUGGUGAAAUGCGCAGAUAUCAGGAAGAACACCUAUGGCGAAGGCAGCACUCUGGGACGGUACUGACGCUGAGACGCGAAAGCGUGGGGAGCGAACAGG